Equus asinus (donkey) is the source of this 3583-nucleotide long non-coding RNA. The record is from Ensembl. NCBI's taxonomy places the organism in Eukaryota, Metazoa, Chordata, Mammalia, Perissodactyla, Equidae.
UUAUGUUCUUACUCCUCAUUGAAUCCACUAUGUCUUGGAGAUUUUCCUCCUUUUUUUAAAUUCUUAGUUCUCUUUCUUCCUCUCUCUGGAGCCAUUCAGCCUGUCUAUCUUCAAUUAUGUUAAUUUGCUCUUCUAUGGUGUCUACACGGGCAUUCAGGGAAUCCAUAUUCUGUUUUAUCUGGUCCAUUGUGUUUUUCAUCUCUAGUAAUUCUGUUUGAUUCUUCUUUAUGAUUUCAAUCUCUUUUGUGAAGUAACUCCAGAACUUGGCUUGUUUCUCUAUCUUUCUCUCUACCUCAUUGAGUUUUUUGAUUAUAGCUGCUCUGAACUCAUUAUCACUUAGUUUACCUAAUUCCAAGUCCUCAGGACUUAAUUCUAUGUUUUUAUUCUUUUCCUUCUGGUCUGGGGCUUUUAUAAAUUGCUGGAUGGUAGAGGAGUGGUUUUUUCACAUGGUGGUAGAAUUCGGUUGCAGUUACAGCCUGUGGCCACUAGAUGGGUGUCUAGAGCCACGUGUUAUGAGCUCUCCGCCUUUGGGCAAGAUGGCUGCGCCCAGUGGCUUUGCCUGGGAGGGAGGGGCUGCUAUUCUCACGUGCCGAUCUGGAUUCAGAUCAGUUCUGUUCUCUGGUCUCCCGUGGCCCUGGGUUUAUGGGGUCCCCGCUGACAAAAGCUUUCCCCCCAUCAGCAAGUUUCCAGUGAACCAGCAGCAGGAGUCCUGGAUGAUCCCUGGUCACGCAGCCCCUCCCCGGCUCCUUCCCAACCCGCGCAGCAGCGAUCGCAGACUCUAGGGGAGGGAGUGAUGUUCUCUCCUACUGUUCCAGCGCCUCCAGGGCCGACUCAGUGGCCAUUGAGGAUUUGCUUGUGAACUUCACCCUGGAGGAGUGGGCUUUCCUCGAUUCUCCACAGAAGAAACUUCAUGGAGGUAUUAUGCAGGAAACUGUCAUGACCUGGCCUCAAUGGGUAACAAUGACAAUUUGCAUUCACUGUUUCAAUUAGAAAACAAGUGUUUCUAGUUCAUCAAUGUUGUUCCAAGACAUGGAAUGUGGAAAGGGAGGAUGUUGGAUAAACGGGGCAUGGUCACAGCUCAUCAUGAACCUAGAAUCUAAUAACUUUUCUAUAAUUUCUAAUACUUUGGAAUCAUUAUUCUGGGUCUGAAUUUUAGGAAAAAAUGGGAAGAUCAUGAUGUUGAAGAUCGGUACAGAAAUCAGGGUAGAAACCUAAGGCACAUCAGGUGUCACACUGGACACAAGCCAUGUGAGUUUCAAAAAUAUCGAGAGAAGACACAUUAAGUGUAAGCUAUGGACUCUGGGAAAGGCUUCACUUGUUCCAGUUCCCUUCAAAUACAUGGAAGAGCCCACUCUGCAGAGAAACUCUAUCAAUGGAAACGUGGAAAAGUCAUCAGAUACUAUUUUAAAAAGCAUGAAAGAACUCAUACAGGAGAGAAAUUUUAUGAAUUGUAAAAAGUGCUACAAAGCCUUCAGUAUUCCCAGUUCUCUCUGAAACCUUGAAAGAACUCCUACUGGGGAGAAACCCCAUGAAUGUAAAGAAUGUGGGAGAGCCUUUUGUCAUCCAUCAGGUAUUUGAUCAUACAUGAAAACGCAUACUGGAAAUACACCUUAUAAACGUAAAGAAUAUGGAAAGCUUUCAUUUAUCCCAGUUUACUUGAAAUACAUGAAAGAAUUCAGACUGGAAGCCCUAUGAGUGUAAAAUAUGUGGGAAAGCCUUCAUUUGUUCCAGUUAUUUUCAAGUACGUGAAAGAAGUAAUACUGGAGAGAAACCUUGUGAAUGUGAGGCAUGAGGGAAAUCCUUCAUUUGUCACACAUACUUUUGAAGACACGUGAGUGUGCACACUGGAAGAAAACCAUAUAAAUGUGAAGAAAUGUGGGAAAACCUUCUGUCAUCUGAGUUCUUUCUGAAGGCAUGAAAGGACUCACUGGAUAAAACCUCUUGAAUGUAAACAAUGUAGGAAAGACUUCUAUUGGCCCACAUACUGAACUAUGAAAAAUCCUACCUAUGAGAAAUAUCAAUGUUAGUGAUUGGGAAAGCUUGGUGGGAAUAAAUGCAUGAAUAAUAUUCUGGCAAAAUUUUCAACAUGAAAGAGUUGUUAUGAAAGUUGUAAAUAUAUUGGUUUAUGAAGCUUCUUUCUUAAAGUACAUCUUUGGACUAUGGAUUUCUACAAGUUACAUUCAGAAAUGAAUAUUGAGGUGAGAAAAUUCUUCAAGUCAUCUUUCAACAAUGGAAGAUAAGAUUAAUGGGUAGUGAUUUUUCCUUAAAUCAAUCAUAUUUUCUCUGUCCAUUUUUAAGCCUGUUGGAUUCAUGGGUGAAUUGAAAUGGAUUUCUAAUGUGCAGUUAGAUUUAAUAUUUUUACAGUGUUUCAUUUGUUCUGUGUUAAGGGGCUACUGAAAAAUGACAAUUCGGUAUAUGUUAGGAUUUUCCUACUGGCCAUGUGAGAAUUCCUGGAUAUCCCUACUCCAUUGUGUAUCUUCUGCCUUUUCUUACUGAGAAACUCCUUGUUUGGGGUCAUAGAUCUUUUUUCCAUUUUCCAUGGCAUUAAACAGUUGAAAUACAUUUUUCUCUAUGGUGUGUUUAUCAAAGAGUAUCAUUUCAUGUGACUUGUUAUUUUCAUAUUUGGCCCUUUCCUCACUGUCCUUCCUUCUGACUGAAACUUGGUGACUAGGCCUUGAAUUAAGAAGAGAGCCAUGAGAUAGGACAAAAAAAUAAGGAGUUGGAGAUGUCCUCCCUGUGAGCAAUAUUUGAAACUAGAUUCUCCAUUAUCCAUCCCUUUUAUGGUUUCAUAUUGGAAUUCACCAAUAGCCUCACUUGCAUGACCUUUUGAAGUCAUAAGCAAAGAAGGGAUUAGGUUUUGGGACCACCAUAGAGGGAGAAGACAAAUACAUAGGAUCUUGGAGGAAAUCAUGUUCCACCUAUUUUACAAAUUCCUUGCUCUUCCAGUCAAGACUAUCUUCAAAACAACCACCAAGUCUGAUUUCCAUUUUCUUAGAGGUGUAGGUUUCCAACGAUGUCUUAUAAGUUCUACAUCAAAGAUACAUGAGACUCGGAUUUUUCAGUUAGCCUUCUUGUGUUCACCAGGAAAGCAAUUCAGACUUUCAUGAUUGGGCGUAUUCUGAUUCCCCUCUUCUCUAGAUUAUAUCUGUAUAAGGCUUAAUUUGUACACGAAACACCUUAUGCUGUUAAUAGUGCUGGUGACUAUAUUUUCCUUAUUCCCGAUGACAGCCACAAUAGUGCUAUCAAAAAAAAAAACAACAUUGGACUUUGUUUCUCUUCUGCAUUGUGCCUCGACCUAAUCCUUCCAUGUAAGAAUAAUCUCCUUCCUCACGUCAGGAAGACUGUGUUUCCUGUUACUUGUAGCUGAAUGUAAUGCCUCAAUAUGUUUUCAAUUAUUUUUGAUUAUAUGUGAUUAAAAGUAUGUUCAUUUUUUUGUGAAACAAACAUUUCUGUAGUUCUUUCAUAGAAAUAUUUUAUCAACUGUUUUAUAAGCCCUCCUGCUAACGAUUUUUUUUAGUUUCUUCAGAGAAUACAGUAAAAUAUCUCAUUCUAAUUGUAGAUUUUCAGAUAAACUGCAGUUUCA